RNAcentral lists this ribosomal RNA (557 nucleotides) under uncultured Verrucomicrobiota bacterium. RNAcentral's name for it is "bacterial SSU rRNA". It matches the Rfam family "Bacterial small subunit ribosomal RNA", at positions 65 to 611 of the family's 1533-position model. Lineage: Bacteria; Pseudomonadati; Verrucomicrobiota. The record is from RNAcentral.
AACGCUGAUUUGUGGGUAGCAAUAUUCGCAAGUCGGAGUGGCGCAAGGGUGUGUAACACGUGGGUAAUCUGCCGUGAAGUCUGGGAUAACUUGCUGAAAGGCGAGCUAAUACCGGAUGUGAACGCAAGUUCAAAGUUGGGGACCGUAAGGCCUGACGCUUCACGAUGAGCCCGCGGCCUAUCAGCUAGUUGGUGAGGUAACGGCUCACCAAGGCUAAGACGGGUAGCUGGUCUGAGAGGACGACCAGCCACACUGGAACUGAGACACGGUCCAGACGCCUACGGGUGGCAGCAGUCGAGAAUUUUUCUCAAUGGGCGAAAGCCUGAAGGAGCGACGCCGCGUGGGGGAUGAAUGGCUUCGGCCCGUAAACCCCUGUCAUUUGUGAACAAAUUGUUUCACCUAACACGUGAAGCAUUGAUUGUAGCGGAAGAGGAAGGGACGGCUAACUCUGUGCCAGCAGCCGCGGUAAUACAGAGGUCCCAAGCGUUGUUCGGAUUCACUGGGCGUAAAGGGUGCGUAGGCGGCCAGGUAAGUUUGAUGUGAAAUCCCGCAGCUCA